This 269-nucleotide ribosomal RNA is filed under the name uncultured anaerobic ammonium-oxidizing bacterium. RNAcentral describes it as "partial 16S ribosomal RNA". It matches the Rfam family "Bacterial small subunit ribosomal RNA", at positions 565 to 832 of the family's 1533-position model. The record is from RNAcentral.
GAGCACGUAGGUGGGUUUGUAAGUCAGAUGUGAAAGCCUUCUGUUCAACGGAAGAAUUGCAUCUGAAACUGCAGGUCUUGAGUGUAGGAGGGGAGAAUGGAACUUCUGGUGGAGCGGUGAAAUGCGUAGAUAUCAGAAGGAACGCCGGCGGCGAAAGCGACUCUCUGGCCUAUAACUGACACUGAGUGUGCGAAAGCUAGGGGAGCAAACGGGAUUAGAUACCCCGGUAGUCCUAGCCGUAAACGAUGGGCACUAAGUAGAGGGGUUUU